AUUGAACGCUGGCGGCAGGCCUAACACAUGCAAGUCGAACGGUAGCACAGGGGAGCUUGCUCCCCGGGUGACGAGUGGCGGACGGGUGAGUAAUGUCUGGGAAACUGCCUGAUGGAGGGGGAUAACUACUGGAAACGGUAGCUAAUACCGCAUAAUGUCGCAAGACCAAAGCGGGGGACCUUCGGGCCUCGCACCAUCGGAUGUGCCCAGAUGGGAUUAGCUAGUAGGUGGGGUAAUGGCUCACCUAGGCGACGAUCCCUAGCUGGUCUGAGAGGAUGACCAGCCACACUGGAACUGAGACACGGUCCAGACUCCUACGGGAGGCAGCAGUGGGGAAUAUUGCACAAUGGGCGCAAGCCUGAUGCAGCCAUGCCGCGUGUAUGAAGAAGGCCUUCGGGUUGUAAAGUACUUUCAGCGGGGAGGAAGGCAUUGCGGUUAAUAACCGCAGUGAUUGACGUUACCCGCAGAAGAAGCACCGGCUAACUCCGUGCCAGCCGCCGCAGUAA
This 506-nucleotide ribosomal RNA is filed under the name uncultured bacterium. RNAcentral's name for it is "partial 16S ribosomal RNA". It matches the Rfam family "Bacterial small subunit ribosomal RNA", at positions 30 to 523 of the family's 1533-position model. The record is from RNAcentral.